GCGACCCCAGGAUGGGCGAGG
This 21-nucleotide ribosomal RNA is filed under the name Dendrobium fimbriatum. Its description in RNAcentral is "partial 26S ribosomal RNA". RNAcentral also lists the same sequence under 5 other names. The record is from RNAcentral. Lineage: Eukaryota; Viridiplantae; Streptophyta; Magnoliopsida; Asparagales; Orchidaceae.